UCUUCGCAGCUUGGGCUGGCAAGGACAAUGGAGUCAUUGCCGGCCUCGCUGGCGGCACCCUAGUGAAGCAGCUGGUGAUGGCAUCCGCGGAUCUGAUGCACGACUUCAAGACAGGACACCUGACCUUGACAUCGCCGAGGUCCUUGCUCGUGGCGCAAUUUAUCGGGACAGCCAUGGGCUGCAUCAUUGCGCCUCUCACGUUCUUGCUCUUCUACAACGCGUUUGACAUCGGGAACCCCAACGGUUACUGGAAGGCGCCAUACGGGUUGAUCUACCGAAACAUGGCGAUCCUUGGUGUGGAGGGUUUCUCUGUGUUGCCCAAGCACUGCCUUGCGCUCUCCGCUGGGUUCUUCGCGUUCGCGUUUGUCUUCAGUGUCGCCCGGGACGUCCUACCGCGGAAGUACGCGAGGUUUGUGCCCCUACCAAUGGCGAUGGCUGUGCCGUUCCUUGUGGGUGGGAGCUUCGCGAUUGAUAUGUGCAUUGGGAGUCUGGUUGUCUUUGUUUGGAACACGAUGAACAAGAAGGAGGCUGUGUUCAUGGUGCCUGCGGUUGCGUCCGGGUUGAUCUGUGGAGACGGCAUAUGGACCUUCCCAUCUUCCGUGCUCGCUUUGGCCAAGAUCAAACCACCGAUUUGCAUGAAGUUCACGCCUGGAAGCUAGAAACAUUAUGGACAGUUCGUGAAAUUGUAGAAUGUGAGUGAGAUUCAGUGAAGGCAUCAAGUGUGAUUAGUGGUAGUGGACAUAAUAAGUUGAAGCCAUGUCGCCUGUAUUAUCUUUGUUGUGUAUGUGUGGGUUCUCCUUCUCCGAGAGCCACAAUACUUGAGAUUUCUAGAGCUGAUAUGUUUUUCAUCAUGUUGGGUUUAACCUAUAUUUAUGUUUUGGAAAAAAAGAUUACUACAAUAUUGUCUAACGGAAAUUAAUGCUCAUUUUUGUAUUUACAUUCUUUCAAGAUUUUAGCUACUGACUUGUAUAAUAUGCUGCCCACAAUAUGAAUUCAUAGAUUAGGAAGUAAAUCUAGUCAGGGUUAAAAGUGUAGUUGUGCAUUCACAGUUUCACACAAUGUCACCAUCUAGGUAAAUUCUUUUUAACUAAGGGUGUGUUUGCUAGUGAUUUAAUUCUUGUAGAAAUAUUUUAGAUCUAGAUUUUUUUAAGAAACAUUUCAGAUAACGUGGCGAGGUGUCACCUGGCGCUUGGCUGCUGGCCUAACAUGGAUGCCAGGUCAAACUAGCAUAGGAGAUGGUUCUACCUCCCCAACAUUGCCCCGAUGCUGCCUCCUUAUUCAUCGGCCAGGCUAGGAGACGAGGUGCCACCAGCCCGCCUGCUCCUCCUUUGGAGGUGAAGGGGUGGAUCCAACGGCCUAGGCACCAGGUUCCUCAUUGGUGGCCGCGAGAGCCUCGGUCGUGAGGGGGAAGUGUUCUCGGCACGGACCUUUGGUGGAUGAGAGGCUCAUUCCAUUGAGCAUUCGACUAUGCCAAUCAUGCCGGUGACUCCUUCUAGGCAUAUUUUCUUCUUUUGUCGAGUUCAGUCCUUUUCUAGUCUGUGCUUCGAUUCCACCAUAAUGUGCAGGGCCUUCUUGAUGGGACCGCCUCUUGGUGGCGUAGGCCAGUCUACUGCUGCCGCUGGCUCCUCAUCACGGCAUCGACUGACGUCGCUAGCUACCAUUGUGGUUCACCUGCCGUGGCAGAGCCCUCUCGUCACCCCUCCAUGGUCCUCUAGCUUUGAGGAGGGGGGCUUGCUAGGCGUCAUCCCCCUGACAAGGGAGCAUGACGAGGCAUGUGUGCCACAUCACCGCUGGCUACCUCGCUUCGCUCAUGCAUGCCAUUCAACACAUGGCUUAACAAUGUUUCGAGUGCAUGCAAAGGUGUUCUUUUAUAUUGCCUAAGAGCAUAUACAAUAAUGGACUUAUAGUCAAGCUAAUGUUGAUUUGGAGGAGAAAAGACAGGAGAGAGAUGAUAGCUUGGCUCUCAUGUAAGCACUAAGCUACGCACGGAUGCAUAGGUAGUGGUGGCCCAAAUAGCAAGUAUUGUAAGGAGGAAUCGAAAAGAGAAAAUGUCUUAGAGACAAGUAUGAAACAACUUACUGUAUAACUUGGCUCUAAUCACUUGGCUUAUAGUCAACACUUGACUCUAUUAUUAACCUUGCUCUAAGCAGUAAUACUCAAUGGUGUACAUGUGCGAGGAAAACCAACAAUAGCGGCACAAAGGGGAACUAAAAUUGCAAAAAUCAAUGACAAUGAAAGAACACAUAAUUUUCAAUAAUGGAACACAGAAAGGAACAGUAUAUGUUUCAAUGGCGUUCAAGGAAUUUUUUUAUAAAAUAUAUAUACCUAGAAAAACUAAAAUAACGUAUGAUUUAGAACGGGGAGUAGUUUUAUAUUGUACCUGCUACAAAAGUCGGUCUAGGCUCUUCAUAUUUGGACAAAUUUCAGGGUUUCAUUUUGUAGAGUAUACACAGGCACUUAGCUUUUUUUUUUUUUGAAACGAGGGUACCGGCCUAAUGAUAAUAGGACAUGAUUCCCCGAUAACCUGCGUUCAAAAGAAAUUCCAUCAAUCUGUACGAGAUGAAUUAUACACAGAUAUGACGGCAAGAAAAAUGCUGCUACCGAUCAACUCGCUCGAGUCGCUUUCCUUCUUCCCCUAACAAGUCUCUCGACAGCUAAUAAUGCGACGACUAGAAAAUUUCUUAGUAUUUUUUCUGCGGCGAGAAUACUUCAGGGUUUGGACUAGUGAUUGUAAGUGAGAUUUUCAGAUAACGAGUGAUUCUAAGUGACAUGGCAUAGUUGACAUUUGAAGGAUUUUUCUAUAUAUAAAUCCCGGCUACUAACAUCUAAACCUCACCAUCUUCUGAUGCAGCUCACCGCCUUGGGGUUGCGCUUGUAAGCAUCGGCCUCUACGCUUCUCGUGAGGCAGGGAUCGAGGCCGCCAUGGACCGCGCGCGGAGCGGUGCCGCUGCCGCUGCCACGGACGAUGAAGAGAUCGAGAAGCACGAGCCGGUGCCUGAGGACAUGGAGUCUGACCCGGCGGCGGCGCGCGAGAAAGAGCAGGUGCCGCCGUGGCGGGAGCAGGUGACGCUGCGCGGCAUGGUGGCGGCGCUGCUGAUCGGCUUCAUGUACACCGUCAUCGUCUUGAAGAUGGUUCUCAGCACGGGGCAGUUGCCCACGCUGAACGUCUCGGCGGCGCUGAUGGCGUUCCUCGCGCUCCGCGGGUGGACGCGCGUGCUGGAGCGCCUCGGCGUCGCGCACCGCCCCUUCACGCGGCAGGAGAACUGCGUCGUCGAGACCUGCGCCGUCGCGUGCUACACCAUCGCCUUCGGCGGUCAGCUGCUCAGCUCAGCUCAGCGCGGGAUGCACGCCGGCGUGACGGUUGCCGUUGACUGAUUCGCGCGCGCGUGUGUGCAGGUGGGUUCGGCUCCACGUUGCUGGGCCUGGACAAGAAGACGUACGAGCUGGCCGGGGCGUCGCCGGCCAACGUGCCAGGGAGCUACAAGGACCCUGGAUUCGGCUGGAUGGCUGGAUUCGUCGCGGCGAUCAGCUUCGCCGGCCUCCUAAGCUUGAUUCCUCUCAGAAAGGUGCAGCACACACACACUCUCUCUUCUUCAUCUGCUAGACAAAGGGCUUGUUUGGCACAGCUCAACUUCACUAGUAAAGCUGUUUUUUUAGAAAAUAGCUUCAUGAGUGACUUUCUAGAUGAAGCUGAGCUGUUUUGGAAAAAGUGUUUGACAAAAUAGCUUCACCAACUACUUCAUACAUAGUUGAGAGAGAGAAAUGAGGGAGAAGCUGCAAUAAGCUACUUUUUUCCAGCUUCAUCCAACUUAUGUCUCUUCACACAUGAAGCUGUUUUGGAAAUAAGUGUUUGGCAAAAAAAACAGCUCACAACAGCUCAUGAAGCUGUUGUGAGUUAUACCAAACAGGCCCAAAGUAUAUAACCAGUUCGUUUGACCUUAUCGCCGAAUCUACUAGCCAUUUAGCAGUAUUUUUUUUAUCACAAUGAAUCAGUCAACAUUGCGCUCUCUCUCUUUCAAAUUAUAAGAGCUUUUCACGAAACAUUUUUUUUCUAUAUACCUAGAUAUAUAUAAUGUGUAGAUACAUAUUAAAAAAUAAUAAAAAAGCUAUAGCAUUUUAUAAUUUGAGCGGAUGGAGUAAUUUUGAAUGGAGGAAGCAUUUUCCAAGGGUUUUCUUUUUAUCAUCUUUAAAGAGCCAUUUAGCCUUUCAACAGCUACGGUGAGAAGAAGCAUACCAAUGGAGGCACAAAAUGGAAACUAAGGUUGCAUGCCUAUAUAUAUUCUUGAAUUUUUCAUCAUUCUUCCAAAAACCAAAAGACCUAAUGUAAUCCUUUUCUUUUGCCACUGACCCAUGACCUAAUGUUUUCGACAUUGUCACGGUCUUUGAAAUACAAUUGUGUGAUAGUAUGUUAUGAGACUGGAUAACUAGAUGGAAUUCAGAGUGGGAAUAGCAGAUAUUUGAGUAGGAUUAGCAAGAACAGAGUUGAGGAAGGGUGGAACAUGGCAGGAACCGUGGGUGAGGACGGCGACGAAGGUUGUUUCUCAGUUUGGAAAUGGCUAUUCUUUCUUAUGUCUCACGCCACGUCUGUCAGCUUGUAUCUCCGCUGGGAACGUUACUAGGCCGCAGCGGCCAAGUCCAUCUUUACUCAGCUAACUAUGGCCCAAGGCCCAUUACAUGACAUAGUUUUUUAUGAAACAAUUACAUGACAUAGUAAUAUUUAAAUAAAACAUGGCAAAAGAAUAAUUGCAUGGAACUAUAUUUCGAGACCAAUCUAUUAUAUCAUUUUCAAAUGGUUAAACUCAACAUAGAAUUUAAAAUUUGACUUCUGAAAACCCCAAAAUGUCAAUUAUUAGUGAUUGGAACGAAUACAAUGUGUAAAAAUCUAAUGAAAAAUAUGUUAGUUUUCAGUUAUCUAUAAUGCUACUCGUUUUACAAGACAUUUACAGGUUUUGGUCAUAGACUACAAGUUAACUUACCCAAGUGGAACUGCAACUGCUGUUCUCAUAAACGGUUUCCACACCAAGCAAGGAGACAAGAAUGCAAAGUAUGAAUUUCAUCACCCCACCUCUCUUAGGUUAAUAUUGUAUUUUGCUAGACUGUGAUAUCAAGCAUCCCUUGAUGAUGAUGAGUUAUUCACCCAAGUGAACUAACUUAAUUUCCAUGACAAGAUGCAAGUCCGUGGGUUUCUGAAGUACUUUGGGCUCAGCUUCAUAUGGAGUUUUUUCCAGUGGUUCUACACAGGCGGUGAUGUUUGCGGUUUUGUUCAGUUUCCUACAUUCGGUCUGAAGGCUUGGAAGCAAACGUAAACAUCCGUACUCUGCUGCUUCAAAUAUCUCUAUAAUUUGCAGCACGCAACACCAUCUAAUUCUCGAUUUCUGGGUGUCAGUUUCUUCUUUGAUUUUAGCCUCACAUAUGUUGGUGCGGGAAUGAUUUGUUCUCACCUUGUGAACAUCUCCACCCUCCUUGGUGCGAUCCUGUCAUGGGGGAUACUAUGGCCACUGAUCAGCAAACAAAAAGGAGAGUGGUACCCUGCAAAUAUACCAGAAAGCAGCUUGAAAAGCUUAUACGGUUACAAGGUUUCAUCACACUCUUCUUUUUGUUCUUGCUUAUUACAUUUUUUAGAAAAAUAUUGGUAAUCAUGUGUCAUUAAACAUGUCCUUACCCCCCUACCUUCUAGGCCUUCCUCUGCAUAGCUCUGAUCAUAGGAGACGGUAUGUACCACUUCUUUAAGGUCUUUGGUGUCACUGUUAAGGGCCUGCAUCAACGGCUAAACCAGAAACAUGCUAGCAAUAGAGGUGAGAAAAAUGAAAAACACCACAGACCUAGUUCUAAUACAUAACUUCCGCCUUUCAUCAUUGAGAGAGAUGGGGUAACCUGCUGCUGUUGACUAAAUGAACACAGUGGCAAAUGGCGGGGAUGAAAUGGUGCCACUUGAUGAUCGACAACGUGAUGAGAUCUUCAACAAUGGUUCUUUCCCCGCCUGGGCAGCUUAUGCCGGAUAUGCAUUGCUGACUGUCAUUUCAGUGAUCACCAUCCCACAUAUAUUCCGGCAAGUCAAGUGGUACUACAUCAUCGUGGCCUAUGUCCUCGCCCCUCUUCUCGGUUUCGCCAAUUCCUACGGGACAGGGCUCACCGACAUCAACAUGGCCUACAACUACGGCAAGAUCGCGUUGUUCAUCUUUGCAGCUUGGGCCAGUAAGGAAAAUGGUGUCAUCGCCGGUCUUGCCGGCGGCACCCUAGUGAAGCAGUUGGUGAUCGCAUCUGCUGACCUAAUGCAUGACUUCAAGACAGGCCACCUGACCUUGACAUCGCCGAGGUCUCUGCUCGUGGCGCAGUUCAUCGGGACAGCCAUGGGCUGCGUCGUCGCGCCUCUCACGUUCUUGCUCUUCUACAAC
RNAcentral lists this long non-coding RNA (6395 nucleotides) under Sorghum bicolor (sorghum). RNAcentral describes it as "long non-coding RNA (SBIC_LNC007439)". The record is from RNAcentral. Lineage: Eukaryota; Viridiplantae; Streptophyta; Magnoliopsida; Poales; Poaceae.